UACGGAGGAUGCAAGCGUUAUCCGGAUUCAUUGGGUUUAAAGGGUGCGUAGGCGGUUUAGUAAGUCAGCGGUGAAAUUUUGCAGCUUAACUGUAACAGUGCCGUUGAUACUGGGGAGCUAGGAUUUGGUUGCUGUGGGUGGAAUGUGUGGUGUAGCGGUGAAAUGCUUAGAGAUCACACAGAAUAUCGAUUGCGAAGGCAGCUCACAAAGCCAAGAUUGACGCUGAGGCACGAAAGUGUGGGGAUCAAACAGGA
Molecule: ribosomal RNA, 254 nt
Filed under: uncultured prokaryote
Description: partial 16S ribosomal RNA
Rfam family: Bacterial small subunit ribosomal RNA
Source: RNAcentral